CCUACGGGGUGCAGCAGUGGGGAAUAUUGGACAAUGGGCGAAAGCCUGAUCCAGCCAUGCCGCGUGUGUGAAGAAGGCCUUCGGGUUGUAAAGCACUUUCAGUGGGGAAGAAAGCCUUGGGGCUAAUACCCUCGAGGAAGGACAUCACCCACUGAAGAAGCACCGGCUAACUCCGUGCCAGCAGCCGCGGUAAUACGGAGGGUGCGAGCGUUAAUCGGAAUUACUGGGCAUAAAGCGCGCGUAGGCGGUCUGAUAAGCCGGUUGUGAAAGCCCCGGGCUCAACCUGGGAACGGCAUCCGGAACUGUCAGGCUAGAGUGCAGGAGAGGAAGGUAGAAUUCCCGGUGUAGCGGUGAAAUGCGUAGAGAUCGGGAGGAAUACCAGUGGCGAAGGCGGCCUUCUGGACUGACACUGACGCUGAGGUGCGAAAGCGUGGGUAGCAAACAGGAUUAGAUACCCUUGUAGUC
RNAcentral lists this ribosomal RNA (465 nucleotides) under Vreelandella stevensii. Its description in RNAcentral is "partial 16S ribosomal RNA". It matches the Rfam family "Bacterial small subunit ribosomal RNA", at positions 338 to 795 of the family's 1533-position model. Lineage: Bacteria; Pseudomonadati; Pseudomonadota; Gammaproteobacteria; Oceanospirillales; Halomonadaceae. The record is from RNAcentral.